Non-coding RNA from Struthio camelus australis, 452 nucleotides. The record is from RefSeq and is a predicted model, not a curated record. NCBI's taxonomy places the organism in Eukaryota, Metazoa, Chordata, Aves, Struthioniformes, Struthionidae.
UAUUACGAGUGUAAAAAUAAAUGGUGUAGUUUUGCAUCAGAAUUUGGCUUUGAAGCUUUUGUAGAGACCAGAACAUGCUGUUUGAAAUGGUCACAGCACAGUGGAAAAAGCAGAUUUCCUGCAGGAUCUGGUGCCUCUCCCAGAGCAGAUGCCACCUUCUUUUUGCUCCAUUUCACUUAAGGCAGACAAGGUACAGAGAGUUUCCUGGAGACUGAAUUGAAAAUGAGAAGAUAUUUUCAUUUUAAUAACAAAAGAACGAGAAGAAAUCAAACUAUUAAACCUUCUUCUGAAAAAAUAUUUUGGGGAUGAACCACUUGGAAUUUAAUCUGGCAAGGUUUUUAAAUAUGCCAGAUUUUGCCCAAACUAAUGCCCGUGACACAAAAUUCCCUGUAAAGAGGAAUCUCCCUGUAAAGAGGAUGCUCACAAUUUAAGAGGUGGAACGAAACAGGAAG